GACGAACGCUGGCGGCGUGCCUAAUACAUGCAAGUAGAACGCUGAAGAGAGGAGCUUGCUCUUCUUGGAUGAGUUGCGAACGGGUGAGUAACGCGUAGGUAACCUGCCUUGUAGCGGGGGAUAACUAUUGGAAACGAUAGCUAAUACCGCAUAACAAUGGAUGACACAUGUCAUUUAUUUGAAAGGGGCAAUUGCUCCACUACAAGAUGGACCUGCGUUGUAUUAGCUAGUAGGUGAGGUAACGGCUCACCUAGGCGACGAUACAUAGCCGACCUGAGAGGGUGAUCGGCCACACUGGGACUGAGACACGGCCCAGACUCCUACGGGAGGCAGCAGUAGGGAAUCUUCGGCAAUGGGGGCAACCCUGACCGAGCAACGCCGCGUGAGUGAAGAAGGUUUUCGGAUCGUAAAGCUCUGUUGUAAGUCAAGAACGAGUGUGAGAGUGGAAAGUUCACACUGUGACGGUAGCUUACCAGAAAGGGACGGCUAACUACGUGCCAGCAGCCGCGGUAAUACGUAGGUCCCGAGCGUUGUCCGGAUUUAUUGGGCGUAAAGCGAGCGCAGGCGGUUUGAUAAGUCUGAAGUUAAAGGCUGUGGCUCAACCAUAGUUCGCUUUGGAAACUGUCAAACUUGAGUGCAGAAGGGGAGAGUGGAAUUCCAUGUGUAGCGGUGAAAUGCGUAGAUAUAUGGAGGAACACCGGUGGCGAAAGCGGCUCUCUGGUCUGUAACUGACGCUGAGGCUCGAAAGCGUGGGGAGCGAACAGGAUUAGAUACCCUGGUAGUCCACGCCGUAAACGAUGAGUGCUAGGUGUUGGAUCCUUUCCGGGAUUCAGUGCCGCAGCUAGCGCAUUAAGCACUCCGCCUGGGGAGUACGACCGCAAGGUUGAAACUCAAAGGAAUUGACGGGGGCCCGCACAAGCGGUGGAGCAUGUGGUUUAAUUCGAAGCAACGCGAAGAGCCUUACCAGGUCUUGACAUCCCGAUGCUAUUUCUAGAGAUAGAAAGUUACUUCGGUACAUCGGUGACAGGUGGUGCAUGGUUGUCGUCAGCUCGUGUCGUGAGAUGUUGGGUUAAGUCCCGCAACGAGCGCAACCCCUAUUGUUAGUUGCCAUCAUUCAGUUGGGCACUCUAGCGAGACUGCCGGUAAUAAACCGGAGGAAGGUGGGGAUGACGUCAAAUCAUCAUGCCCCUUAUGACCUGGGCUACACACGUGCUACAAUGGUUGGUACAACGAGUUGCGAGUCGGUGACGGCAAGCUAAUCUCUUAAAGCCAAUCUCAGUUCGGAUUGUAGGCUGCAACUCGCCUACAUGAAGUCGGAAUCGCUAGUAAUCGCGGAUCAGCACGCCGCGGUGAAUACGUUCCCGGGCCU
This 1369-nucleotide ribosomal RNA is filed under the name uncultured bacterium. RNAcentral describes it as "bacterial SSU rRNA". It matches the Rfam family "Bacterial small subunit ribosomal RNA", at positions 28 to 1381 of the family's 1533-position model. The record is from RNAcentral.